ACGGCGGACGGGUGAUAAUGCUUAGAAUCUGCCUAUCUAGUGCGGGGACAACGUCUUCGAAAGGAACGCUACUACCGCAUACGUCCUACGGGAGAAAGCAGGGGAUCAUUUGACCUUGUGCUAAUAGAUGAGCCUAAGUCGGAUUAGCUAGUUGGUGGGGUAAAGGCCUACCAAGGCGACGAUCUGUAGCGGGUCUAGAGAACGAUGAUCCGCCACACUGGCGACUGAGACACGGCCCAGACUCCUACGGGAGGCAGCAGUGGGGAAUAUUGGACAAUGGGCGCAAGCCUGAUCCAGCCAUGCCGCGUGUGUGAAGAAGGCCUUAUGGUUGUAAAGCACUUUAAGCGAGGAGGAGGAGCUUCAGGUUAAUACCCUGGAUGCUUGGACGUUACUCGCAGAAUAAGCACCGGCUAACUCUGUGCCAGCAGCCGCAGGUAAUACAGAGGGUGCAAGCGUUAAUCGGAUUUACUGGGCGUAAAGCGUGCGUAGGCGGCUAAUUAAGUCAAAUGUGAAAUCCCCGAGCUUAACUUGGGAAUUGCAUUCGAUACUGGUUAGCUAGAGUAUGGGAGAGGAUGGUAGAAUUCCAGGUUGUAGGCGGUGAAAUGCGUAGAGAUCUGGAGGAAUACCGAUGGCGAAAGGCAGGCCAUCUGGCUAAUACUGAACGCCCU
RNAcentral lists this ribosomal RNA (668 nucleotides) under uncultured Acinetobacter sp. RNAcentral's name for it is "bacterial SSU rRNA". It matches the Rfam family "Bacterial small subunit ribosomal RNA", at positions 95 to 749 of the family's 1533-position model. The record is from RNAcentral. Lineage: Bacteria; Pseudomonadati; Pseudomonadota; Gammaproteobacteria; Moraxellales; Moraxellaceae.